RNAcentral lists this long non-coding RNA (2321 nucleotides) under Nicotiana benthamiana. RNAcentral's name for it is "long non-coding RNA (NBEN_LNC004840)". The record is from RNAcentral. Lineage: Eukaryota; Viridiplantae; Streptophyta; Magnoliopsida; Solanales; Solanaceae.
UUUAAUGAACUUAUGAACUAAAAUAAUUACAGGCUUGUAAACUAAUUUAUUGUUAAGAAAGGAUUGAGCGAAGUUGCGGGAACGCAUACUCCAAAUUAAUUUAGGAUUAUGGACAUGUUAACUCAAAGUUUUAUAACUAUCUUAACACAAAGACCAUGGAAUUCGUGAUUUUGGUUCAGCCCGUCACAACUCAAAUUAAUUAAAGGGAUUAUCAAUGAACUAGGUUCUAAAGUAAUCAAAACCAAUUCUUCUUUUUUUUUUAAAAGAAAAACUGAAUCUAAAACAUGACCCAAUAGGCUUUGAGACAGGAAGUCUAAUCUUCUUUGCUUCUCCCAUAACUUGGGCCUGACCUGAGGCCGAAUCAUAAAAAAAAGUUCAGGUGAAACAACAACGCCCUAAGCACUCUGCAUUCUAUUAUCGUAGCAAAUAUGAAUAUCUAAACGCAUACAUGAAUUGUUCUAAGAAAUUGACACACACAUGUAAAAUUUCCUGACCACUUCAAAACAGUUUCAGCAUAUCAACCAACAUGUUAAUAAAACUAUGCGUGCUGGAAUUUUGACAUAAACCAAAGCAAACCAUAAAACCAAGCGAAGAGAACGAAAAGGGGUGUAAAUCUGAUUACAUACUUGAGUUUCAUUUGAGAUUCAAACGAGAAGGCAUAACGUGAAUAAGCUUGAUAUUAAUGGAUCACACCUCAAGCUAUACAUAAAAUGAGCUUGGAGUUGUGAUGCACGAGAAAACUAGAUCCAACGCAGGCAUCCUGAACUAACAAACAUUUGACCUUCAAGUACGCUCAAAACCAAAUAAAUUCAUAGUCAAGCGAUCGAGUCCUUCAGUUAAUACCUGUUAAGCCGACUACAUAUAUCUAACCUAUAAUGUUGCUGAAUUUAAAGCACUCAUAGCAGAUCUAAUACUAAUUCCAGGAUACAAAUACGGUACUGAUUAUUGAUGAAUUACAUAUUGAAAAAAAUAAAGUUGGGCUAAAGGCAUCUGAAAACAAAGUGCAAAAAUUUCCAAACAAGACUUCCCUCUUCAAACAGUAGUUACAUCCUUGCAAAAAUCUCAAUUCCAUUCAAGUUUCGAAUGAAAUACCUGGAGAGAAGAAACAAGAAAUGAGGGACAAUUUUCAGCUCCUAAAACCUUUCUUUUGUGUGUUUUUCUGAAUUUUUACUAUCUAAAAACCCUUCGAAUAGCAGCCUUUGUUAUAAUGACUUUAUAGGCAAAUCCUUAAGGUGCCUUUCAGAUUCUUUGUUUUCAUUUUUAGUCCCCUAUUUUAUAACUUGUUUCCCAAGUUAUACCCUGAAAUUUACUAGCAGAUUCCUGCUAGAAACUUCCAGGUUAGUUACAAAAUAUUCCUCACCUAAACUACCCAAAUCACCCCCUAUAGCCAUCACUAUUUACCCUCCUCUGAAAAACAGAUAUGGGCUCAAGUGAGGCACAUACAGGCCAAAACCAUGUGGGCUACCAGAAUUACCUGCCCCGCUUUGGGCUCCCUCUUUUUAUAAAGCCCAAACGUGAUUAAUACAAAAAAGCAGUGCAAUUCAUAAAUCAGUAAAGCAUGACCAAAACUACGAUACUAUUGAAGCUAUGAACGACGACACUUCUAAUUCAAAUGGAACAAGAAAUAGAUCAAAUAAUGAUUUUACUAAGCAAUCGAUGUAUGAUUAUCACACCAGAACUAAUGUUUAAAAACAAGAUAGCAAACAACAAAAGAAAAAAAACAAAAAAGAAUUAAAAAUUGCAGUAAAGAGGGGAACAAUGUACCAGGUUAUAAUAGCAGAUUGACAAAUUCAAAGAAAUCAACGACUAAGGAGGAUCUGAUAAGCGUCGAAAUUUUAAUACGAGCGUUAACCAAAAUUUCUCCGACGGCUAAUGCUCCAUAUCACAAUCUUCGACACCUAUCUUUAAAAUGAGACGAACCAAAACUUGGAGCAUGGAUUGCUUGGCUAACAUUGGCUUCCAUGAGGGGCCUGGAAUUUGACUGAAUAACCAACUGAUCCCUCGUGCUAGUAUCAAAAGAAGCAAAUAUCGGAAAAACACAGAGGAAAUCGGACGAGACGAAGCCAACUCAGAUUAUAUACCUUCCGAGAUUUGAAAUUCAUGGGAAUCGAGCGACAUUUGGAGAAAACUAGUGGUGGAUUUGGAAUGGGAAAGCAACAAGGAUUAUGAGGUCAAAUUUUGAGGAGGUUUGGAGAUCGCCGCUGCUGGCGAUCUCCGGCGGCGGCGACGGGAGAUGAGGGGUUGUACUUGAUCCUAGGUUUACUAAUGGUUAUUUGGACAUAUUAAGGUAAAUGUAGAGGUAAUUGUGACCUUUGGAUGGG